Molecule: ribosomal RNA, 263 nt
Filed under: uncultured Desulfobulbus sp.
Lineage: Bacteria; Pseudomonadati; Thermodesulfobacteriota; Desulfobulbia; Desulfobulbales; Desulfobulbaceae
Description: partial 16S ribosomal RNA
Rfam family: Bacterial small subunit ribosomal RNA
Source: RNAcentral
CCAGCACGUUAUGGUGGGCACUCUAAGGAGACUGCCGGUGACAAACCGAGGAAGUGGGGAUGACGUCAAGUCCUCAUGGCCUUUAUGACCAGGGCUACACACGUACUACAAUGGCCGAUACAAAGGGCAGCGACACUGCGAGGUGAAGCCAAUCCCGUAAAAUCGGUCUCAGUCCGGAUUGGAGUCUGCAACUCGACUCCAUGAAGUUGGAAUCGCUAGUAAUCGUGGAUCAGCAUGCCACGGUGAAUACGUUCCCGGGCCUU